AAAAUACUCCCUUCGUCUCAAAAUUCUUGUCUUAGAUUUGUCUAAAUACAGAUGUAUCAAGUCACGUUUUAGUAUUAGAUACAUCUAUAUCUAGACUAAUCUAAGACAAGAAUUUUGGGACAGAGGGGUACUAC
This is a non-coding RNA of Triticum aestivum (bread wheat), 134 nucleotides long. NCBI's taxonomy places the organism in Eukaryota, Viridiplantae, Streptophyta, Magnoliopsida, Poales, Poaceae. The record is from Rfam.